CGUGAAAGUCUGGCCGGUUGUAUUGUUGUUGUAACACGAUGACCUUGUCAGACAAUAACCCACCGGCUGAAGGCGAAAAAGCCCAGUCGCGCGCUGAGAUUUGAGUUGACACAUGCUCUCAGUUACGCUUCAUCGCUCGCGCCCCAUUCCACAGAUAAUUCUCCCCUUUGCUGCCAGGUGGCACUCUCUGACCAGAGAAAUAAAGUUGACUUACGUCAAUGUAGAAUUGUUUUGUAUGGACUUGGUAGAUUAGCAUGCCUAAGCAAACGACUUGGUGUAAGGUUUAUUGUAGCCUAGCUUUCUAUGAGGCAUAUGGUCACUGCCAUUGAUCGAUUUGAAAACAACUGAAUAUUAGACUACCUAUAUUCCUUCUUUAAGCGCAUUGACAACUGCGUAGUAAGCUGCCUUCUUGGUCAAUAUACUUGUAUGCCUACAUUCCGGAAAUACUCUUGACCAAAAUUGUUGAACUGACUACCUGAACGGUUGUCGUUCACCUGCAAGAACUCCAACGCCGACCUCAGCGCAAGGUGCGUUUGAGGGAAAGGAGGAGGUCCCUAAUAGCAGCGAAAGCAUAAAGUUACACUGCUCAAUUUGAAGUGAAACGUUAUUGACGGACUCACGGGAUUCACGUAAAGCGAAGUAGAAACCGCAAGUGGCAAAAAUACAGGUUAUGCUUACUGCAAGAGACCAUAGCGCGAGGGCAGGACAGAGGGCCUCCCCUUGUAUGAGCAUCAUGCAGUAGAGCAGAGAGCGGCUACUUCAACCAGAGUGUGUGGGAGUGAAAGGACCCGAGGGCGUCAUGGCUGUCUUUAAAUUAGAGAAUGUGGAGGACCUGUACGAGAUCGGGGAGGUGCUGGGCAGGUUAGAGACCAUUUUAACAAACCAUUAAUAGAGUUCUUAAAUUCCUGUGGUAUAUCGUAUAUAUAAACUACAGAAUGUAGAGGACCUGUAUGAGAUCGGUGAGGUGCUGGGCAGGUGAGAGACCAUUUUAACAAACCAUUAAUAGAGUUCUUAAAUUCCUGUGGUAUAUCGUAUAAAACCUACACAAGCUAAGGUUGUCUUGGUAUGUGGCCAUGUUUGGCCAGC
Long non-coding RNA from Clupea harengus (Atlantic herring), 1086 nucleotides. The record is from Ensembl. NCBI's taxonomy places the organism in Eukaryota, Metazoa, Chordata, Actinopteri, Clupeiformes, Clupeidae.